RNAcentral lists this ribosomal RNA (487 nucleotides) under Russula badia. Its description in RNAcentral is "mitochondrial SSU rRNA". It matches the Rfam family "Bacterial small subunit ribosomal RNA", at positions 434 to 949 of the family's 1533-position model. The record is from RNAcentral. Lineage: Eukaryota; Fungi; Basidiomycota; Agaricomycetes; Russulales; Russulaceae.
UGAUAACAUAAGGGAAAAUAAUGAUAUUACCUUAUUAUUAGUGUCGUCCAAAACUGGUGCCAGAAGACUCGGUAAGGCCAGAGACACAAACGUUAAUCGUCUUAAUCAGGCGUAAAGGGUUUGUAGGCGGCUUUAAAAUUUACUUAUAAUAAAAAUAAAUAAGUAAAAAAUAAAAGCUAGAAUCAAAUAGAGGAUAUAUGAAAGAAUGCUUAGAGUAGGUCUGAUAUCCUUAGAUACUAAGUAGAAUAUUAAAGGCGAAAGCUUUUUUCCAUUAAUGAUUGACGCUCAGAAACGAAGGUGAGGAUAGGAAAUAGGAUUAGAUACCCAGAUACCCCUCUCUGUCAACGAUGAAUGGUAGUUAUUAGUAAAAAUUUUAUUAAUGGCAAUGUUAACACGAUAACCAUUCCGCCUUGUGAGUACAAUUGCAAAAUUGAAAACAAAAAAAUUAGUCGGUUUCGGAGCAAACGAAGUGAAGCAUGUUAUUUAA